Molecule: unclassified non-coding RNA, 145 nt
Filed under: soil metagenome
Description: partial internal transcribed spacer 1
Source: RNAcentral
UAAUAAGUGUUUUAUGGCACUUUUUAAAUCCAUAUCCACCUUGUGUGCAAUGUCAGUCGAUCUUCUUAUUUGAGGAUCGACCAAACAUCAACCUUUAUUUUUAACUCUUUGUCUGAAAAAUAUUAUGAAUAAACAAUUCAAAAUA